This 267-nucleotide unclassified non-coding RNA is filed under the name plant metagenome. RNAcentral describes it as "partial contains small subunit ribosomal RNA, internal transcribed spacer 1, and 5.8S ribosomal RNA". The record is from RNAcentral.
UUUCCGUAGGUGAACCUGCGGAAGGAUCAUUAUCGUACAAAAUGUGAGGGGCAUGCGAGGGCUGUCGCUGACCCAAAAGUUGUGCACGCCCGAGUGUGUCCUCUUGCAUAAUAAUCCAUCUCACCCCUUGUGCAUCACCGCGUGGGCACCCUUCGGGAUCAUCUCGGAGGGGGGCUCGCGUUUUCACACAAACCCCCCUUUUAAAAGUGUAGAAUGACCACAUUUAUGCAAUCAAUACAACUUUCAACAACGGAUCUCUUGGCUCUC